CGGGACGGGGUGGAGUAACGCGUGGGUAACCUGCCUCAUACAGGGGGAUAACAGUUAGAAAUGGCUGCUAAUACCGCAUAAGCGCACGGUACUGCAUGGUACAGUGUGAAAAACUCCGGUGGUAUGAGAUGGACCCGCGUUGGAUUAGCUAGUUGGCAGGGUAACGGCCUACCAAGGCGACGAUCCAUAGCCGGCCUGAGAGGGUGGACGGCCACAUUGGGACUGAGACACGGCCCAG
Molecule: ribosomal RNA, 238 nt
Filed under: uncultured bacterium
Lineage: Bacteria
Description: partial 16S ribosomal RNA
Rfam family: Bacterial small subunit ribosomal RNA
Source: RNAcentral